AAACAAACCUUUAAAUAAAUUACCAGAAACAUUUAUUAUUGAAGUUCAAGAAGAAAUAAGCAUCUCUUUCAUGAUGUUAAAUAACUAUUUAAAUGCUUUGCACCACAUACCAUAAUCUUGUACAUUAAUAAUAAUCUUUCCAUUCAUUGCACCAAUACUUAAUAUCAUUCUUUGCAUUGUUUUCUUUAGAAACAUUGUCUAACAUUUCCAGAUUCUUUACCAAGAAUUUUAUAAAAUCUAACAGAGUUACUGCCCUUGGUACACAAAUCCUUAUUUUUUUCCACCUCCCCAUAACCAUCCUUUAAAGCGAGAAAUGCAAUCGAGUUGAGAUGACCAAUGGUAAUCUUUUUAUCGCUAUUUUACCUAUGACGACGUUGUCAAUUU
Molecule: long non-coding RNA, 384 nt
Filed under: Mytilus galloprovincialis (Mediterranean mussel)
Lineage: Eukaryota; Metazoa; Mollusca; Bivalvia; Mytilida; Mytilidae
Source: RNAcentral